AUAGCGAUAAACGGAGUGAGAAACUCCGUCGCCGAAAACCCAAGGUUUCCCGGGCUAGGUUAAUCCUCCCGGGGUUAGUCGGGAACUAAGCCGAGGCCGCAAGGCGUAGGCGAUGACAAGCAGGUUAAUAGUCCUGCACCUGUAUGAGCGUUGAAGCAAGCGGUGAUAAAGAAGGAUAGCUGGGCCACGUGACGGAUCGUGGUUGGUGCAUAUGGCUGGGAGUAUACGAAACCAAAGGUAUUCCCGUUAAGGUGAAGGUGCAUCGCAAUGUCAAUCAUUUGUGAUUGAUAGAGUCAGUAACUCCAUGCUUUCAAGAAAAGCCGCGUGUGGAGCAAAAUACAGCCCGUACCGUAAACCGACACAGGUGGGUGGGGAGAGCAUCCCAAGGCGCUUGAGAGAACCGAGCCUAAGGAACUCUGCAAAUUAACGCCGUAACUUCGGGAUAAGGCGUGCUCAAUAGGUGUAAGCACUUGCUGCUGAAGCUGAAUUGAGUUGCAAAUACCAGGCGGUGGCGACUGUUUACUAAAAACAUAGCACUCUGCAAAACCGAAAGGUGAAGUAUAGGGUGUGACGCGUGCCCAAUGCUGGAAGGUUAACAGAAUCCGUUAGAGCAAUCGAAGCGGUGAAUCGAAGCCCCAGUGAAUGGCGGCCGUAACAAUAACGGUCCUAAGGUAGCGAAAUUCCUUGUCGGGUAAGUUCCGACCUGCACGAAUCGCGUAACGAUCUCCGCACUGUCUCGGGCUCGGACUCAGCGAAAUUGAGAGCGCAGUGAAAACGCUGUGUACGUACGGCAAGACGGAAAGACCCCGUGAACCUUUACUGCAACUUGACAGUGAUAUUCGAACCAGCUUGCGUAGGAUAGGUGGGAGGCUUUGAAGCGGUGAUUCUGGUCAUCGUGGAGCCGCCGUUGAAAUACCACCCUGGUUUGUUUGGGUAUCUAACCCAGGCCUCUGAUCGAGGUCGGGGACACUGUCUGGUGGGCAGUUUGACUGGGGCGGUCGCCUCUCAAAGAGUAACGGAGGCGCGCGAAGGUCCCCUCAGCCUGAUUGGAAACCAGGCGUCGAGUGUAAUGGCACAAGGGGGCUUGACUGCGAGACAGACAUGUCGAGCAGGUGCGAAAGCAGGUCAUAGUGAUCCGGUGGUUCUGUAUGGAAGGGCCAUCGCUCAACGGAUAAAAGGUACUCCGGGGAUAACAGGCUUAUCACGCCCAAGAGUUCACAUCGACGGCGUGGUUUGGCACCUCGAUGUCGGCUCAUCGCAUCCUGGGGCUGAAGUCGGUCCCAAGGGUUAGGCUGUUCGCCUAUUAAAGCGGUACGCGAGCUGGGUUCAAAACGUCGUGAGACAGUUUGGUCCCUAUCUGCCGUAUGCGUAGGAAAUUUGAGGGAAGCUGACUUUAGUACGAGAGGACCGAGUUGGACGAACCUCUAGUGUACCAGUUGUCACGCCAGUGGCACAGCUGGGUAGCCAUGUUCGGACGGGAUAACCGCUGAAAGUAUCUAAGCGGGAAGCCCCUCCCAAGAUAAGAUUUCCCAGUCGUAAAACGCAUAAGACCCCUUGAAGACUACGAGGUAAUCGGCUGGGUGUGGAACU
This 1590-nucleotide ribosomal RNA is filed under the name metagenome. RNAcentral's name for it is "bacterial LSU rRNA". It matches the Rfam family "Bacterial large subunit ribosomal RNA", at positions 1306 to 2874 of the family's 2925-position model. The record is from RNAcentral.